AGUGCCCCCUAUGGGGCGAACAGGCCAGAUGGCUGCACUGGGUGCUGCAGUGAGCCCAUAGAAGGCUUUUUAUUGUUUCCAACAACUUUGGAAGAAUAAUAUCCAGCAUAAUGGAAGGAAUUCCUAGCUGGGUGGUUGAGUUGCAUAGGUGCUCCUCUCGUGAUCUGGGCUUCCCUACAAGAAAUGGCUCAAGGAGUCCUUCAGGCUGCACUAAAUAGUAACUGGAAUCCACACAAAGAAAUAAAGCACACACUAAAGGUACUUGACAACCUGCAACAGCAGCACAGGCUACUGUCUUCAUGGCUGCCUCCCAGCUCACCAGCAGGAGUACACGGGUAGGAAAUCAUAGCAGAUAAUCAACACAAGUAUGAGCAUAGCUGAACACAAUGUCACGUUGUAAUGGGAGAAUUGGUCUGAAUAAAGUGGUUCGCUGUUACAAAACUGGAAUACCUAAAAGUGAAUUGAAAUCAGC
This is a long non-coding RNA of Equus asinus (donkey), 472 nucleotides long. NCBI's taxonomy places the organism in Eukaryota, Metazoa, Chordata, Mammalia, Perissodactyla, Equidae. The record is from Ensembl.